Molecule: ribosomal RNA, 503 nt
Filed under: uncultured bacterium
Lineage: Bacteria
Description: bacterial SSU rRNA
Rfam family: Bacterial small subunit ribosomal RNA
Source: RNAcentral
UGAGUAAUGUCUGGGAAACUGCCUGAUGGAGGGGGAUAACUACUGGAAACGGUAGCUAAUACCGCAUAACGUCUUCGGACCAAAGUGGGGGACCUUCGGGCCUCAUGCCAUCAGAUGUGCCCAGAUGGGAUUAGCUAGUAGGGUGGGGUAAUGGCUCACCUAGGCGACAAUCCCUAGCUGGUCUGAGAGGAUGACCACCCACACUGGAACUGAAACACGGUCCAAACUCCUACGGGAGGCACCGUGGGGGAAUAUUGCACAAUGGGGCGCAGCCCUGAUGCACCCAUGCCCCGUGUAUGAAAAAGGCCUUCGGGUUGUAAAGUACUUUCAGCGAGGAGGAAGGCAUUAGGUUAAUAACCUUAUGAUUGACGUUACUCGCAAAAAAAACCCCGGCUAAUUCCGUGCCACCAGCCGCGGUAAUACGGAGGGGGCAAGCGUUAACCGGAUUUCUGGGGCUAUAAGCGCCCCAGGCGGUCUGUCAAGUCGGAUGUGAAAUCCCGGGG